CCUACGGGAGGCAGCAGUAGGGAAUAUUGCUCAAUGGGGGAAACCCUGAAGCAGCAACGCCGCGUGGAGGAUGAAGGUUUUCGGAUUGUAAACUCCUUUUGUUAGAGAAGAUAAUGACGGUAUCUAACGAAUAAGCACCGGCUAACUCCGUGCCAGCAGCCGCGGUAAUACGGAGGGUGCAAGCGUUACUCGGAAUCACUGGGCGUAAAGGGCGCGUAGGCGGGAUAGCAAGUCAGAUGUGAAAUCCUAUGGCUUAACCGUAGAACUGCAUUUGAAACUGUUAUUCUAGAGUAUGGGAGAGGUAGGCGGAAUUCUUGGUGUAGGGGUAAAAUCCGUAGAGAUCAAGAGGAAUACUCAUUGCGAAGGCGACCUGCUAGAACGUAACUGACGCUGAUGCGCGAAAGCGUGGGGAGCAAACAGGAUUAGAUACCCGGGUAGUC
RNAcentral lists this ribosomal RNA (440 nucleotides) under uncultured bacterium. RNAcentral's name for it is "partial 16S ribosomal RNA". It matches the Rfam family "Bacterial small subunit ribosomal RNA", at positions 338 to 795 of the family's 1533-position model. The record is from RNAcentral.